RNAcentral lists this ribosomal RNA (255 nucleotides) under uncultured bacterium. RNAcentral's name for it is "partial 16S ribosomal RNA". It matches the Rfam family "Bacterial small subunit ribosomal RNA", at positions 524 to 775 of the family's 1533-position model. The record is from RNAcentral.
UACGUAGGCAGCAAGCGUUGUUCGGAGUUACUGGGCGUAAAGGGUGUGUAGGCGGUUGGAUAAGUGUGGUGUGAAAUCUCCCGGCUUAACUGGGAGGGUGCGCUACAAACUGUCUGACUAGAGUAACGGGAUGGGAAAGUGGAAUUCCUGGUGUAGCGGUGAAAAUGCGUAGAUAUCAGGAGGAACACCGGUGGUGUAGACGGCUUUCUGGACCGUAACUGACGCUGGAAACACGAAAGCGUGGGUAGCAAACAG